RNAcentral lists this ribosomal RNA (473 nucleotides) under SAR202 cluster bacterium. RNAcentral's name for it is "bacterial SSU rRNA". It matches the Rfam family "Bacterial small subunit ribosomal RNA", at positions 1051 to 1533 of the family's 1533-position model. Lineage: Bacteria; Bacillati; Chloroflexota; Dehalococcoidia. The record is from RNAcentral.
GUCGUCAGCUCGUGCCGUGAGGUGUUGGGUUAAGUCCCGCAACGAGCGCAACCCCUAUCGCUAGUUAAUUUCUCUAGUGAGACUGCCCCUAAAAGGGAGGAAGGUGGGGAUGACGUCAAGUCAUCAUGACUCUUACGUCUAGGGCUACACACACGCUACAAUGGCCAGUACAGACGGUCGCUAAGCCGCAAGGUGGAGCCAAUCCGAUAAAGCUGGUCUCAGUUGGGAUUGCAGGCUGCAACUCGCCUGCAUGAACGCGGAGUUGCUAGUAAACGCAGGUCAGCACACUGCGUUGAAUACGUUCCCGGGCCUUGUACACACCGCCCGUCACGUCAUGGAAGUUGGUAACACUUGAAGUCGUUGCGCUAACCCUUUGGGAGGCAGACGCCGAGAGUGGGACUGAUGACUGGGACGAAGUCGUAACAAGGUAGCUGUACCGGAAGGUGCGGCUGGAUCACCUCCUUUCUAAGGAG